This is a non-coding RNA of Callithrix jacchus (white-tufted-ear marmoset), 835 nucleotides long. The record is from RefSeq and is a predicted model, not a curated record. Lineage: Eukaryota; Metazoa; Chordata; Mammalia; Primates; Cebidae.
UGGAAACGCCUCUAGCCCGCGCUUACAUAUGAUUGGUUAGAUACGACAAAUAAAAAGUUUCUAUUGGGUGCGGUCCCUAUCAAUCACUCGGAAGACCAUGGAAGCAAAGGGGCCUUGGGUUGCCGGGGGAAUGAGAAUGCUAAAUUGCUGUUUCAAAGAUGAGGACGAUUUAUGAUUUCUCACUCGAGUUCAUGGGAAAAAGAAUCAUAAGAAAAUUACUUAUUAACAAGCACGGUAUUUUCUGCUUUACCUACGUAGGAGGAGUUUUUUGUUUUUGUUUUUGUUUUGUAUCCUACAUCCACUUUAAAAUAGAAAAAGCAAAGAGCAACUUUACAAACGGUUACAAUUUUCCAUCAUCACUUGACUGCUGACAAGAAGCCUCCUUGAAUUCCAGUAUACACAAUCCCAUUUUAAAACCUUCAAGACACUGUUUAAUCAGGAGUUGUAAGGCACAUUUGUUAGAGAAAGCUGCACUUUAAAAAGUAUACGGACAUCACCUGAAGUUAUUAAAGUUAUCAAAACAUAUAAAAACCUUCAAGUAAGAUGUAUGCAAAUUAGCAGCAUUUAACUAAAACUAAUAUAUUAAUUAGCAUAUUUCAGUAUCACUUUUGUAAUAGGGAAAGAAAAUGGCAAAACAUUUUCAUUGUGUUCAUCACACACACACACAAAUAGAAAACUUGAAUAUCCUCAGAAGCCUGGCGAAGAUAAUCAUGAAGAAAGGAACUGCAAAGGCUUCUGACGUGACGCCAUGGAUGAAGGACUGCAGCGAGCUGGGGAAGGUGCUCACCGUCUUGGGGAUGACCUCCCAGGUGGUGUUGAAGUUGGUGAAUGGCCC